This 225-nucleotide long non-coding RNA is filed under the name Lathyrus oleraceus (garden pea). Its description in RNAcentral is "Pisum sativum (pea) long non-coding RNA (PSAT_LNC013982)". The record is from RNAcentral. Lineage: Eukaryota; Viridiplantae; Streptophyta; Magnoliopsida; Fabales; Fabaceae.
UUAGGUGCACUUGUAAUAGACACAUUUAUAAGUAUAACCCUAUAAUUAAUUGGAUCCAAUUGUCUUUCCCAUCCAAAUUUGUUAGGGACCCAAACCUGUCUAACUUUCAUGCAUUUGUAGGAUAUCCUUUUCACUUUUUAGUCAUAAUACAAUGGGUGACAAUUGAUAUCAAACACAUCAUGUGAUCUAAGACAGAUGAAUGGGAAAAAACAAGUUUGAAUUGAU